Molecule: non-coding RNA, 26 nt
Filed under: Mus musculus (house mouse)
Lineage: Eukaryota; Metazoa; Chordata; Mammalia; Rodentia; Muridae
Source: RNAcentral
UGGAUGUCAUUUCAGGUAUGCAGGAC